GCGAACCGGGGGAACUGAAACAUCUAAGUACCCCGAGGAAAAGAAAUCAACCGAGAUUCCCCCAGUAGCGGCGAGCGGACGGGGAGCAGCCCAGAGCCUGAAUCAGUGUGUGUGUUAGUGGAAGCGUCUGGAAAGGCGUGCGAUACAGGGUGACAGCCCCGUACACAAAAAUGCACAUAUUGUGAGCUUGAUGAGUAGGGCGGGACACGUGGUAUCCUGUCUGAAUAUGGGGGGACCAUCCUCCAAGGCUAAAUACUCCUGACUGACCGAUAGUGAACCAGUACCGUGAGGGAAAGGCGAAAAGAACCCCGGCGAGGGGAGUGAAAAAGAACCUGAAACCGUGUACGUACAAGCAGUGGGAGCACGCUUAGGCGUGUGACUGCGUACCUUUUGUAUAAUGGGUCAGCGACUUAUAUUCUGUAGCAAGGUUAACCGAAUAGGGGAGCCGAAGGGAAACCGAGUCUUAACUGGGCGUUAAGUUGCAGGGUAUAGACCCGAAACCCGGUGAUCUAGCCAUGGGCAGGUUGAAGGUUGGGUAACACUAACUGGAGGACCGAACCGACUAAUGUUGAAAAAUUAGCGGAUGACUUGUGGCUGGGGGUGAAAGGCCAAUCAAACCGGGAGAUAGCUGGUUCUCCCCGAAAGCUAUUUAGGUAGCGCCUCGUGAAUUCAUCUCCGGGGGUAGAGCACUGUUUCGGCA
RNAcentral lists this ribosomal RNA (700 nucleotides) under Shigella sonnei. RNAcentral describes it as "partial 23S ribosomal RNA". It matches the Rfam family "Bacterial large subunit ribosomal RNA", at positions 179 to 920 of the family's 2925-position model. Lineage: Bacteria; Pseudomonadati; Pseudomonadota; Gammaproteobacteria; Enterobacterales; Enterobacteriaceae. The record is from RNAcentral.